UACAGAGGUCCCAAGCGUUGUUCGGAUUCAUUGGGCGUAAAGGGUGCGUAGGUGGCGCCGUAAGUGGGGUGUGAAAUUUCGGAGCUUAACUCCGAAACUGCAUUCCAUACUGCGGUGCUUGAGGACUGGAGAGGAGACUGGAAUUUACGGUGUAGCAGUGAAAUGCGUAGAGAUCGUAAGGAACACCAGUGGCGAAGGCGGGUCUCUGGACAGUUCCUGACGCUGAGGCACGAAGGCCAGGGGAGCAAACGGG
This 253-nucleotide ribosomal RNA is filed under the name uncultured bacterium. RNAcentral's name for it is "partial 16S ribosomal RNA". It matches the Rfam family "Bacterial small subunit ribosomal RNA", at positions 524 to 776 of the family's 1533-position model. The record is from RNAcentral.